AUAAAGUCAACUGUAUAAACAUCAGUUAUAUACAACUGAGCACAUUCUAAUUUUAUACUUUAGUUACUUUAUUUGUUACUUUAAAAAAAAUGAUGUUUCUGAAGAGUAAUGGAUUUUUUUUCGCCAUAGUUUUCAUCGUUUCUUUAUUAAUCGAAAACAAUGCUGCUGAUGCAGAGAAACUUCACAGGAAGAAGAAAGUUAAAGACGAAAAAAAAGGCAACAGCUCAAUGACAGUAGGAGAUAUUGGUUUGGGUGCAACUCAUGCAGUAAGAGACUUAGUACAUGGUCUCCUAAAUUUUGGUA
Long non-coding RNA from Parasteatoda tepidariorum (common house spider), 303 nucleotides. RefSeq lists it as uncharacterized. The record is from RefSeq and is a predicted model, not a curated record. Lineage: Eukaryota; Metazoa; Arthropoda; Arachnida; Araneae; Theridiidae.